Mus musculus (house mouse) is the source of this 2048-nucleotide long non-coding RNA. RefSeq annotates it as predicted gene, 33669. The transcript has 4 exons. The record is from RefSeq and is a predicted model, not a curated record. Lineage: Eukaryota; Metazoa; Chordata; Mammalia; Rodentia; Muridae.
GGGAGAGCCGGCCCACUCCCUCACAGGCUGCAGCACUUGGGAGAGUGUGGCCCACACCAUGGCUGGGCAGCAGUGGAGCUGGCUCUGGAGGUGUGGGUGUGGGUGAGCCAGCCCGAGGGCAUGAGACAAGAGAGUUGACCCUGCCUCCUGCUGAGGGUGGCAUUGGGUGGCCAAGCCAGAGCAGGGCUGGAGAGCUUGCCCUGAUGGUGUGAAUAAGGGAGCCGAUGGGCUCGCCAACUUAACUACCACCCUGGCCAGGAUCCCAGGCUCUGAAUUGGCCCAUCCCAAAAUCCCUAUCAUCUGCAAACAGUUGGGCUACCAGAAAGUGCAGUCUUGCAGAUCCAAAGCUGCAGGAUCUCCAGGAUACAGGGCAACAACAGGAGAGGAGUCCCAGGGAGGAUCAGACAUUGACGGUGCCACAGAAGCCAGAGAUCUCAAACAUGAAGAUGUGCGGACAGAGGGAUACACUGCGGGGCACACUGACACACUACAGCUUCCACGGGUCUCAUACAGGGGUGGCGAACAGAAAAAGUUUAAGCCCUGCCCUAAAGACUAGCCCCCCCUCCCAAAUACUCCCAUCCCCCUCUCUGGAGCAGAUGGCCUGGUAAGUUCUGGCAGGCACCUGGGGUUACUCUGUGCUCUCCCUGUACCCACAGCCAGUGCAGGUCUCAGUGUCUCAGCACCCUGUACCCACAGCCAGUGCAGGUCGCAGUGUCUCAGCACCCAGACCAGGCAAUGAGUAUUCCAAAGCCCGGAAUGGAUGCGAUCUACGUCCCUCAUCCGGGCCCCCACUGCCUGGAGGACUGUGUGAAAGAACUUCCCAGCCACCAGACUACUGUGGACCAUGUACCUCAGCCAAGUAAACGGAGACAAAGGGAUAGUUGGUGGGAGAUGGGAUGAAGCCUGAAACCCGGGACCAUCUAUAGGUGUAGCUCUGUUACAGCGCCACCAUGUGGUGAGCUUCAGAGUAAGGAUGGUGUGAGAGGGGUCGGGGUGGGGUGCGGGUGGGGCCUGAAAGCCUGGCCUCUAGGCUGAGGGACCUACCUCUGGGAAGCCCUUUUCAGAUCUUCCUUAACCCAGGUUUCAUGCAGCGGCCCCAGAGGGACUUGAACCCCUGCCCAGCUGGCGGACCUCACUCCAACACUCUCUUAGGACGCAAGCAAGGAAAUUCGGGAAGAACCGCUAUGCCGCAGAGGCCAGUCUGCACAGGGUUGGCAUGAGGCCCUGGCUACUGGCUUUGACUUGAGAAAGAAAGCACAGACCAACAUACACCUGGCACUGCACCCAGUCAGCCAGCCCUGGGGAGCAAUUUGGAUGCACACAUACAAAGGGAAGGUCAUGUGGCAAGAAGGUGGCCAGAGGAGCCAAGGAGGUGCCUCAGAGGGAAACAACCCUGUUGAUCUUGGACUCCAGCCUCUGGGACCAUGUCCCCUUUCUCCAGACAGUGGUCCUCUGUCAUAGCAGUCCUAGGAACCUCAAAGAGAUACCUGAGUGUGGGACUGGCUCCGCCUUCUCCUUCCUGGUCCCUGCCUUCCUCUGCUUACAGGUGUGAUGGCAGCACACCAAUGGAGAACAACUUUGGGACAAAGCCUCCAGUUACCUUGCACUUCAUGGACACUUUGGCUCAUCUAAGCAAUGGGCUCCGUGGGACCCCAGCCACAUACGAUAGACUAAAGAGGUUGUUGUCCUAACAGCCAUGUGGGGACAUUUGGCCCCUGGAUGUAAAUGUUCCUCGGUAGCCAUGGGAUUGUCAGAUAUUCUGGCUGAAGACCAGAGACAGAGCAGCAUUGAAGAGAGGACACAUGACUGGUGAGAAGGGGGCUCUCUGGCUUUGAGUGUCUGUCUGUGCUCUCAGGACAAAUAAGCUGUACAUCACUAUCAAAAGACCACCGUCUGGAGCUGAAGAGAGGGCUCAGUGGUUAAGAACACUUGCUGUUCUUGCAGAGGACCAGAGUUCUGCUCUCAGUACCCACACUGAGUAGCUUGUAAUGCUGAUGCCCUUUUUUGACCUCAGAUGGUCUCAUUCUCUCUCCAUCUCCCCUUCCCUC